CUAUAUAAAGGGGAUGAAGUUCGCCUUGGCCAAUGCCAAAAUGCUGAUAAGCUGAUGACUUCUGCAAAUAG
This 71-nucleotide non-coding RNA is filed under the name Acetobacterium woodii. Its description in RNAcentral is "Fluoride sequence". It matches the Rfam family "Fluoride riboswitch aptamer (crcB RNA motif)". The record is from RNAcentral. RNAcentral also lists the same sequence under 1 other name. Lineage: Bacteria; Bacillati; Bacillota; Clostridia; Eubacteriales; Eubacteriaceae.